This 546-nucleotide ribosomal RNA is filed under the name uncultured Glomeromycotina. RNAcentral describes it as "SSU rRNA". It matches the Rfam family "Eukaryotic small subunit ribosomal RNA", at positions 548 to 1097 of the family's 1831-position model. Lineage: Eukaryota; Fungi; Glomeromycota. The record is from RNAcentral.
UUGGAGGGCAAGUCUGGUGCCAGCAGCCGCGGUAAUUCCAGCUCCAAUAGCGUAUAUUAAAGUUGUUGCAGUUAAAAAGCUCGUAGUUGAAUUUCGGGGUUCUACCGUUGGUCGGGCUAUUGUCUGUACUGGCGUGUAGAAUUUCUACCUUCUGGGGAACUAUCAUGUUAUUAAUUUAGCGUGGUAGGAAACCAGGACCUUUACCUUGAAAAAAUUAGAGUGUUCAAAGCAGGCUUAUGUCUGAAUACAUUAGCAUGGAAUAAUAAAAUAGGACGUUCGAUCCUAUUUUGUUGGUUUCUAGGAUUGACGUAAUGAUCAAUAGGGAUAGUUGGGGGCAUUAGUAUUCAAUUGUCAGAGGUGAAAUUCUUGGAUUUAUUGAAGACUAACUACUGCGAAAGCAUUUGCCAAGGAUGUUUUCAUUAAUCAAGAACGAAAGUUAGGGGAUCGAAGACGAUCAGAUACCGUCGUAGUCUUAACCAUAAACUAUGCCGACUAGGGAUCGGACGAUGUUAACUUUUCUUGACUCGUUCGGCGCCUUACGGGAAA